AUGACAUAGCGUAAUGUGGCAGCAGGCGAUGGAGCCAUAGUUCUUGUUACUUCUUACCACCUUGUACUUCUGGUAAUGUCAUAAUUUCUCUUUCCCUAGACUCCAUCAACCCCCUCCUUCAGCUCCAGACAGACGCAAGUUUAUUUGUGGCUUCAGCAGCCAAUCAGAUGCUCACUCACCUCCUGAUGUUCUGUCACCCUCUUUCAUCUGGCUUCAAUGAAACAGAAGUGGACAAUAAGAGUUCAAGCUCCUCCAUCACAGGUUUAAAGUGCCCAAAUGCCACUGAAACCGACCAGGAAGGUGCUGCUGUUGUCACAGAAAUCUUAGAGUUCCUGAAGAGACGGAUGCUGCCCAAAGAACCAUCACAGUUUCAUCAGAGUCAGCAGAUCCUGAAGCUGCUAGCCUCAAUUCUGAGCCAGGCUGGACCUUCUCUUCAGAACAAACUACUGCUCACUGUCGGGGAAUCUUUGGAAGAACUUGUGGCCUCAAACUACAGCCAGCUCACUCGUCCACUUAUGGAUGUCAUUCUAGCUGCUUACAGCUCCAGUUGCGGCGAUGCGAAGGUCCCUGAUCAAAUCGUUUCUCGUCUUCUGUCAGUCAUGCUAAACCAGAGAGCACCAUCUGACCUCAUCCAUGCUGCAGCUGCUUUUCUCUGUAGCGGCCACAACAACCGCAUUCACAUGGAGCAGUCUGCGUGUAUUCUCCUGCUUCCCGUGGACAUUAUCACCAGUCUUGCUUUAUUGGAGGGAAACUUUAUAGUGAAGGAUCAUCGGCUAUCAAUGAUGGAGCAACUUAAAAGUAAAACCUCCUGUAUUUCCAUGAUUUGCAUCAGCCUAAAAUAUAUUCCAAGGAUCACUCUCAUGGUGAGUUUAGCACAUAGCAUCGUUUUUCAAUGGUUUUUUUUUUUUUGA
Molecule: long non-coding RNA, 911 nt
Filed under: Oryzias javanicus (javanese ricefish)
Lineage: Eukaryota; Metazoa; Chordata; Actinopteri; Beloniformes; Adrianichthyidae
Description: lncRNA (ENSOJAG00000003729.1)
Source: RNAcentral